AGAGACAGCAGCAGCCGCGGUAAUACAGAGGGUGCGAGCGUUAAUCGGAUUUACUGGGCGUAAAGCGUGCGUAGGCGGCUUUUUAAGUCGGAUGUGAAAUCCCUGAGCUUAACUUAGGAAUUGCAUUCGAUACUGGGAAGCUAGAGUAUGGGAGAGGAUGGUAGAAUUCCAGGUGUAGCGGUGAAAUGCGUAGAGAUCUGGAGGAAUACCGAUGGCGAAGGCAGCCAUCUGGCCUAAUACUGACGCUGAGGUACGAAAGCAUGGGGAGCAAACAGGAUUAGAUACCCGCGUAGUCCCUGUCUCUUAUAC
Molecule: ribosomal RNA, 309 nt
Filed under: uncultured bacterium
Lineage: Bacteria
Description: partial 16S ribosomal RNA
Rfam family: Bacterial small subunit ribosomal RNA
Source: RNAcentral